RNAcentral lists this transfer RNA (66 nucleotides) under Loxodonta africana (African savanna elephant). It matches the Rfam family "tRNA", at positions 7 to 64 of the family's 71-position model. From Rfam's summary of the family: Transfer RNA (tRNA) molecules are approximately 80 nucleotides in length. Their secondary structure includes four short double-helical elements and three loops (D, anti-codon, and T loops). Lineage: Eukaryota; Metazoa; Chordata; Mammalia; Proboscidea; Elephantidae. The record is from Rfam by way of RNAcentral.
GUAGCAUAGUGGUUAAGCAUUUGGCUGCUAACCAAAAGGUCGGCAGUUCGAAUGCACCAGCUGCUC